AAUCAAAACUUUCAACAACGGAUCUCUUGGCUUUGGCAUCGAUGAAGAACGCAGCGAAAUGCGAUAAGUAAUGUGAAUUGCAGAAUUCAGCGAAUCAUCGAAUCUUUGAACGCACAUUG
RNAcentral lists this ribosomal RNA (119 nucleotides) under Rhamphoriopsis muriformis. RNAcentral's name for it is "5.8S ribosomal RNA". It matches the Rfam family "5.8S ribosomal RNA", at positions 1 to 113 of the family's 154-position model. From Rfam's summary of the family: 5.8S ribosomal RNA (5.8S rRNA) is a component of the large subunit of the eukaryotic ribosome. It is transcribed by RNA polymerase I as part of the 45S precursor that also contains 18S and 28S rRNA. Functionally, it is thought that 5.8S rRNA may be involved in ribosome translocation. The record is from RNAcentral. Lineage: Eukaryota; Fungi; Ascomycota; Sordariomycetes; Rhamphoriaceae.